Molecule: ribosomal RNA, 260 nt
Filed under: uncultured bacterium
Lineage: Bacteria
Description: partial 16S ribosomal RNA
Rfam family: Bacterial small subunit ribosomal RNA
Source: RNAcentral
UGGCGGACGGGUGAGUAACGCGUGGGUAACCUGCCCUGUACAGGGGGACAACAGUUAGAAAUGACUGCUAAUACCGCAUAAGCGCACAGGACCGCAUGGGUCCGGUGUGAAAAACUCCGGUGGUACAGGAUGGACCUGCGUCUGAUUAGGUAGUUGGCGGGGUAACGGCCCACCAAGCCGACGAUCAGUAGCCGACCGUGAGAGGGUGACCGGCCACAUUGGGACUGAGACACGGCCCAAACUCCUACGGAAGGCAGCAG